UUAUUUUUUAUUUUAUUUUGUUUUUUAUCGAUUUUGUACUCGUAUUGUGGAUAAAAUGUGUUUGUAGUGUUUAGCUUUAUAUUUUUUGAUUAAUUUGAAUUGAUGCAAAAAAAUAUUACAACACUGUUGUAGUAAUAAUAAUAUGCUUGAUUAUUGUCUUGCUUUGAUUGUGUUGUUAUCUCGAUGUUAAAGUUCAAUUUAACUUUGAAAAUCAUUUACACGCAUAGAUUCAGUUGCCCGACUUCUUAUAGAGUGAUUCUUACAUGAAUACACUCUAAGUUAGCUUAGAGCUAGAUUCAGUUUGCUCUCGGUUUUGGUUGGCAUUCAGUCUCGUGGCUUACUCUUGAGUCUUCUUACAAUGAGAUCUUAAGCAACAUCAACUUAACUUUCAAUAAUUUCAAACCUUUGUACAUUAAUCAUUUUAAUUUAAUUUCAAUACAUUUUCAUAAUUAAAAUUGGAAGAAAAAGAUUACCUGGGUGAAAGGUUCAGAUGUAGUCCCGAAUGUUAAGCCCAAGUUGUAAGAGCUUGUAAGCCAUAUGUAUUCGUCUUCUCUUCAAAAUAUUUGUAAAUAUUCAAAUGUUUUUUCUCAAUAAAAUUGAAUGAAAAAGAUUACCCUGUA
Molecule: long non-coding RNA, 620 nt
Filed under: Lathyrus oleraceus (garden pea)
Lineage: Eukaryota; Viridiplantae; Streptophyta; Magnoliopsida; Fabales; Fabaceae
Description: Pisum sativum (pea) long non-coding RNA (PSAT_LNC027037)
Source: RNAcentral